UCCCCUAGAUUGACUAUGAAUAAGCAAGCAACCAUUUGAUUGCCAUCAUUUCUUCUUUGAUCUGGAGUACUUUGAUCCUAAGUAUUGGAUCAUCCUUGAUAUCUCGUGCCAUUGGAUUAAUGAUAAAUCUUCUUUUAAAGCAACGAAUCACAUAUUAUCAAGCCUGCCUAUGGAGCAAAAGUGACUGAGGUGCUGUUGGAGUGAUACAACUAAUUUUUCUCUUAAAGCAUUGUUUGAACUUGAUAUGAACCAUUUCAUGAUGAUGAUUUUAUCACCAUGACUAAGUUUCCAACUAGUGAAUUGAUC
This 306-nucleotide long non-coding RNA is filed under the name Elaeis guineensis (African oil palm). RNAcentral's name for it is "long non-coding RNA (EGUI_LNC010195)". The record is from RNAcentral. Lineage: Eukaryota; Viridiplantae; Streptophyta; Magnoliopsida; Arecales; Arecaceae.